Wasmannia auropunctata (little fire ant) is the source of this 296-nucleotide long non-coding RNA. RefSeq lists it as uncharacterized. The record is from RefSeq and is a predicted model, not a curated record. NCBI's taxonomy places the organism in Eukaryota, Metazoa, Arthropoda, Insecta, Hymenoptera, Formicidae. The transcript is spliced from 2 exons.
AUUCCUCCUAGCGAGCCAAUAAUUAUUGACAAAAUAGUUGUUUACAACACAACUAAUCUUAAAUUAAAUCUUGAAGAUGUAAAAGUAACAGGAUUUUGCAAUUUCGAAAUAAAGUCUAUUAAUACAUCCUCCGAUAGGCUUCAUUUCGUAAUGGAUGUCGUGCAAAAACAUAUUGAUGUGCACUCCAAGUAUGAUCUCGACGUACGUGUAUUGUUUUCACUUGUUAAUAAAGGAUCGAUUCACAUUUCUGUAGAUAACUCAGAAGGAACAUUGACCCUAGAUUUAAAAAUAGAAAC